CCUACGGGGGCUGCAGUGGGGAAUAUUGGACCAUGGGCGAAAGCCUGAUCCAGCCAUGCCGCGUGUGUGAAGAAGGCCUUCGGGUUGUAAAGCACUUUCAGUGGGGAAGAAAGCCUUGGGGCUAAUACCCUCGAGGAAGGACAUCACCCACAGAAGAAGCACCGGCUAACUCCGUGCCAGCAGCCGCGGUAAUACGGAGGGUGCGAGCGUUAAUCGGAAUUACUGGGCGUAAAGCGCGCGUAGGCGGUCUGAUAAGCCGGUUGUGAAAGCCCCGGGCUCAACCUGGGAACGGCAUCCGGAACUGUCAGGCUAGAGUGCAGGAGAGGAAGGUAGAAUUCCCGGUGUAGCGGUGAAAUGCGUAGAGAUCGGGAGGAAUACCAGUGGCGAAGGCGGCCUUCUGGACUGACACUGACGCUGAGGUGCGAAAGCGUGGGUAGCAAACAGGAUUAGAUACCCCAGUAGUC
Molecule: ribosomal RNA, 464 nt
Filed under: Vreelandella stevensii
Lineage: Bacteria; Pseudomonadati; Pseudomonadota; Gammaproteobacteria; Oceanospirillales; Halomonadaceae
Description: partial 16S ribosomal RNA
Rfam family: Bacterial small subunit ribosomal RNA
Source: RNAcentral